AAAAAAGGUAAGCUACUAAGAGCGAAUGGUGGAUGCCUUGACUGGUAAAGGCGAUGAAGGACGUACUAGACUGCGAUAAGCUACGGGGAGCUGUCAAGAAGCUUUGAUCCGUAGAUUUCCGAAUGGGGCAACCCAAUGUAUAGAGAUAUACAUUACCUAUAUAGGAGCGAACGAGGGGAAUUGAAACAUCUUAGUACCCUCAGGAAAAGAAAUCAAUAGAGAUUGCGUCAGUAGCGGCGAGCGAAAGCGCAAGAGGGCAAACCCAGUGCUUGCACUGGGGGUUGUAGGACUGCAAUGUGCAAGAGGUAAGUUUAGCAGAACAUUCUGGAAAGUAUAACCAUAGAGGGUGAUAGUCCCGUAUGCGAAAAACAAACCUUAGCUAGCAGUAUCCUGAGUAGGGCGGGACACGAGGAAUCCUGUCUGAAUCCGGGUCGACCACGAUCCAACCCUAAAUACUAAUACCAGAUCGAUAGUGCACAAGUACCGUGAGGGAAAGGUGAAAAGAACUGAGGUGAUCAGAGUGAAAUAGAACCUGAAACCAUUUGCUUACAAUCAUUCAGAGCCCUAUGUAGCAAUACAGGGUGAUGGACUGCCUUUUGCAUAAUGAGCCUGCGAGUUGUGGUGUCUGGCAAGGUUAAGCAAACGCGAAGCCGUAGCGAAAGCGAGUCUGAAUAGGGCGCUUAGUCAGAUGCUGCAGACCCGAAACGAAGUGAUCUAUCCAUGAGCAAGUUGAAGCUAGUGUAAGAACUAGUGGAGGACUGAACCCAUAGGCGUUGAAAAGCCCCGGGAUGACUUGUGGAUAGGGGUGAAAGGCCAAUCAAACUUCGUGAUAGCUGGUUCUCUCCGAAAUAUAUUUAGGUAUAGCGUUGUGUCGUAAUAUAAGGGGGUAGAGCACUGAAUGGGCUAGGGCAUACACCAAUGUACCAAACCCUAUCAAACUCCGAAUACCUUAUAUGUAAUCACAGCAGUCAGGCGGCGAGUGAUAAAAUCCGUCGUCAAGAGGGAAACAACCCAGACUACCAGCUAAGGUCCCUAAAUCUUACUUAAGUGGAAAACGAUGUGAAGUUACUUAAACAACCAGGAGGUUGGCUUAGAAGCAGCCAUCCUUUAAAGAAAGCGUAAUAGCUCACUGGUCUAGUGAUUUUGCGCGGAAAAUAUAACGGGGCUAAAGUAAGUACCGAAGCUGUAGACUUGCACACAACUUAGAUUAUUUAAGUUUAGAAUAUGAGAAACUAAGUUAUAUGUUUAGUUAUAUUUUUACUGGUUUUUAUAGAGUAAAGAUAGAAAUAAAACUUAGUAAAAUCAGUAAAAAUAUUCUUAGACUAAAGUUAAGUAGUUUAAGUUGUGUGCAAGUGGUAGGAGAGCGUUCUAUUUGCGUCGAAGGUAUACCGGUAAGGAGUGCUGGAGCGAAUAGAAGUGAGCAUGCAGGCAUGAGUAGCGAUAAUUAAUGUGAGAAUCAUUAACGCCGUAAACCCAAGGUUUCCUACGCGAUGCUCGUCAUCGUAGGGUUAGUCGGGUCCUAAGUCGAGUCCGAAAGGGGUAGACGAUGGCAAAUUGGUUAAUAUUCCAAUACCAACAUUAGUGUGCGAUGGAAGGACGCUUAGGGCUAAGGGGGCUAGCGGAUGGAAGUGCUAGUCUAAGGUCGUAGGAGGUUAUACAGGCAAAUCCGUAUAACAAUACUCCGAGAACUGAAAGGCUUUUUGAAGUCUUCGGAUGGAUAGAAGAACCCCUGAUGCCGUCGAGCCAAGAAAAGUUUCUAAGUUUAGCUAAUGUUGCCCGUACCGUAAACCGACACAGGUGGGUGGGAUGAGUAUUCUAAGGCGCGUGGAAGAACUCUCUUUAAGGAACUCUGCAAAAUAGCACCGUAUCUUCGGUAUAAGGUGUGGUUAGCUUUGUAUUAGGAUUUACUCCGAAAGCAAGGAAACUUACAACAAAGAGUCCCUCCCGACUGUUUACCAAAAACACAGCACUCUGCUAACUCGUAAGAGGAUGUAUAGGGUGUGACGCCUGCCCGGUGCUCGAAGGUUAAUUGAUGGGGUUAGCAUUAGCGAAGCUCUUGAUCGAAGCCCGAGUAAACGGCGGCCGUAACUAUAACGGUCCUAAGGUAGCGAAAUUCCUUGUCGGUUAAAUACCGACCUGCAUGAAUGGCGUAACGAGAUGGGAGCUGUCUCAAAGAGGGAUCCAGUGAAAUUGUAGUGGAGGUGAAAAUUCCUCCUACCCGCGGCAAGACGGAAAGACCCCGUGGACCUUUACUACAGCUUGACACUGCUACUUGGAUAAGAAUGUGCAGGAUAGGUGGGAGGCUUUGAGUAUAUGACGCCAGUUGUAUAUGAGCCAUUGUUGAGAUACCACUCUUUCUUAUUUGGGUAGCUAACCAGCUUGAGUUAUCCUCAAGUGGGACAAUGUCUGGUGGGUAGUUUGACUGGGGCGGUCGCCUCCCAAAUAAUAACGGAGGCUUACAAAGGUUGGCUCAGAACGGUUGGAAAUCGUUCGUAGAGUAUAAAGGUAUAAGCCAGCUUAACUGCAAGACAUACAAGUCAAGCAGAGACGAAAGUCGGUCUUAGUGAUCCGGUGGUUCUGUGUGGAAGGGCCAUCGCUCAAAGGAUAAAAGGUACCCCGGGGAUAACAGGCUGAUCUCCCCCAAGAGCUCACAUCGACGGGGAGGUUUGGCACCUCGAUGUCGGCUCAUCGCAUCCUGGGGCUGGAGCAGGUCCCAAGGGUAUGGCUGUUCGCCAUUUAAAGCGGUACGCGAGCUGGGUUCAGAACGUCGUGAGACAGUUCGGUCCCUAUCUGCCGUGGGCGUAAGAAGAUUGAAGAGAUUUGACCCUAGUACGAGAGGACCGGGUUGAACAAACCACUGGUGUAGCUGUUGUUCUGCCAAGAGCAUCGCAGCGUAGCUAAGUUUGGAAAGGAUAAACGCUGAAAGCAUCUAAGCGUGAAGCCAACUCUAAGAUGAAUCUUCUCUAAGCUCUCUAGAAGACUACUAGUUUGAUAGGCUGGGUGUGUAAUGGAUGAAAGUCCUUUAGCUGACCAGUACUAAUAGAGCGUUUGGCUUAUCUUUAAUAAAGCAU
RNAcentral lists this ribosomal RNA (3071 nucleotides) under Campylobacter jejuni. RNAcentral's name for it is "bacterial LSU rRNA". It matches the Rfam family "Bacterial large subunit ribosomal RNA". Lineage: Bacteria; Pseudomonadati; Campylobacterota; Epsilonproteobacteria; Campylobacterales; Campylobacteraceae. The record is from RNAcentral.